This 19563-nucleotide long non-coding RNA is filed under the name Brassica rapa (field mustard). RNAcentral's name for it is "long non-coding RNA (BRAP_LNC000501)". Lineage: Eukaryota; Viridiplantae; Streptophyta; Magnoliopsida; Brassicales; Brassicaceae. The record is from RNAcentral.
UCAAUCUUUUUUUUACUAAAAGGAUUGAGCCGAGUUUAUCUAGUGUAUAUACUGUUUUUGAUAGAUACAUACUUAAUCUAGAUAUACAAAAUCUGAAAAAAAAAGAAGAUUAAACACAACUACACUUUUGUAUUGUAGUGUCCACAAGAAAUUCUAUACGAAAUAUGGAUUCUUAGGAUUUUUUUAUUCUUUUUUUAAGUUUCGUGUCAGGGCUUGAACCAAGUAUCCCCACUUCUUCUACCCAUUCUGCAUGUUGUCCUUUUCUUUUCAUUCCGUAUUGGAAUAAAAACCUUUUUUUAUAUUAGUAUACGAGAUUUUACUAAAAAAGUUCUUCAUAUCGUUAUAUUCAUAAGCGAAGAACAAAUAUUUCUUUUUUUAAUGAGAAUUUUACACAAUAUAAGAAAAUCCUUAUUUUCAUUUAGAAUUGAAAUUUAUUAAUUUCAAUUGCUUUUACUUAAUAAUCUUAGCAAUUAGCAAUUGCAUUGACAUGCUUUGCUUACUCUGAAUAGAAAAUGAACUAUUCAAAUUUUUUUUUGCAUUUUUUAAUUUUUUCAUUGAAUGACUAUUCAUCUAUUGUUAUUUUAUUUUCAUGUAAAUAGAGGCCAGAAGCUCUAUGGAAAAAUCGUGGUUCAAUUUGAUGUUUUCUAAGGGAGAAUUGGAAUACAGAGGCGAGCUAAGUAAAGCAAUGGAUAGUUUUGCUCCUAUUGAAAAGACUACUAUAAGUAAAGACCGGUUUAUAUAUGAUAUGGAUAAAAACUUUUAUGGUUGGGGUGAGCGUUCUAGUUAUUACAAUAAUGUUGAUCUUUUAGUUAACUCCAAGGACAUUCGGAAUUUCAUAUCGGAUGACACCUUUUUUGUUAGGGAUAGUAAUAAAAAUAGUUAUUCUAUAUAUUUUGAUAUAAAAAAGAAAAAAUUUGAGAUUAACAAUGAUUUGAGUGGCCUAGAAAUUUUUUUUUAUAGUUAUUGUAGUUCUAGUUAUCUGAAUAAUAGAUCUAAAGGUGACAACGAUCUGCACUAUGAUCCUUACAUUAAGGAUACUAAAUAUAAUUGUAAUAAUCACAUUAAUAGUUGUAUUGACUCUUAUUUUCGUUCUCACAUCUGUAUUAAUAGUCACUUUUUAAGCGAUAGUAAUAAUUCCAAUGAAAGUUACAUUUAUAAUUUCAUUUGUAGUGAAAGUGGAAGUGGAAAGAUUCGUGAAAGCAAAAAUGACAAGAUAAGAACUAAUAGUAAUCGUAAUAAUUUAAUGAGUUCUAAGGCUUUCGAUAUAACUAAAAACUACAAUCAAUUGUGGAUUCAAUGCGACAAUUGUUAUGGAUUAAUGUAUAAGAAAGUCGAAAUGAAUGUUUGUGAAGAAUGUGGACAUUAUUUGAAAAUGACCAGUUCAGAGAGAAUUGAGCUUUCGAUUGAUCCGGGUACUUGGAAUCCUAUGGAUGAAGACAUGGUCUCUGCGGAUCCCAUUAAAUUUCAUUCGAGGGAGGAACCUUAUAAAAAGCGUAUUGCCUCUGCUCAAAAAAGACAGGGUUGACUGACGCUAUUCAAACAGGUACAGGUCAAUUAAACGGUAUUCCGGUAGCUCUUGGGGUUAUGGAUUUUCAGUUUAUGGGGGGUAGUAUGGGAUCCGUAGUAGGCGAAAAAAUAACUCGUUUGAUCGAGUAUGCUACCAAUCAAUGUUUACCUCUUAUUUUAGUGUGUUCUUCCGGAGGAGCACGAAUGCAAGAAGGAAGUUUAAGUUUGAUGCAAAUGGCUAAAAUUUCUUCGGUUUUAUGUGAUUAUCAGUCAAGUAAAAAGUUAUUCUAUAUAUCAAUUCUUACAUCUCCUACUACCGGUGGGGUGACAGCAAGUUUUGGUAUGUUGGGGGAUAUCAUUAUUGCCGAACCCUAUGCCUAUAUUGCAUUUGCGGGUAAAAGAGUAAUUGAACAAACAUUGAAAAAAGCCGUGCCUGAAGGUUCACAAUUGGAUGCAAUUGUACCACGUAAUCCUUUAAAAGGUGUUGUGAGUGAGUUAUUUCAGCUCCAUGCUUUUUUUCCUUUGAACAAAAAUGAAAUCAAAUAAAACAGUUAGUUUAUCAUAAUUAAACGAAAACCCUGAAAAUUUUAUUUUUCUUUAGAAUCAUUUUUUUAUCGAUAUUCUUGUUUACUACUCAGUAAACCUUUAUCAACAAGAUAAAAAGUGAAUUUUUGCUUUCGGGAAGUUCAAAUUCGACUAGAAAAAUAAAACAAAGUUUUUUUCCUCUCUUGCUUGCAUAUGGAUGGAUAAUUCAAAUAGAGAUAUAGAUCUAUAGAGAGUCUUGCAUCGUUUUGCAUUUCCCGAAAAUUCCCUGUUGGUGGAUCAGAUUCCAAUCAAUUUUGUAUAAAAUUUUAAUGGAAUAAAAUUUUUUCUUUAUUAAUGACUAUUAGAAGACAAAAAGAACAAAAAGAAUAAUAAAUCUAACAGGGAGAUUAUGAUAAUACAUCUAUUUUAUUUUGAAAGAUUAAUAAGUCCAUUUAUUUAGUUUGGCGUUUCUUGUACCUAUUUUUUAUUCCGACGACAUACCGACGAUUUUUUCCCUCAGUAUGCCGAUGUUUUCUUGUAGUGACUAAUUGACUUUUUGUUUAAAAGGUUAUAUAUUACCACUAAAAAUGUGCUAUUUGAAAUAACUACCUAAAUUAUGAAAAGUUGUGAUUAUUCAUAUUUUUUUUUAUGAAAAGACACAUCUUUAUAUGAAAAGACACUUUUAUAGAUAUAUAUAUUUACAAUCUAUAAUAACUAAUGCAAUGUUCAAGAUGAAAAAUCGCAUCAUUUCACAUUUAUUAAAAUUUUAAUUAAUUUUGAAAGGUUGUGUUUUUUUCAACAUGUAGUUAUUGAAAAAAAUUGUGAAAAAACUUAAAUGUGUCUUUUCGUUAUAAAAAUGUAAAUUUACAUCCAAAAGAUAAAUUUUAGAUUCUAUUUGUUAUGUUUUGUGUGUUUUAUUCUUUAAACAUUGUAUUUAUUUUUUUUAAAUUGUUAAAAUAUAGAAAGAGGUGUCUUAUGAUAGCAAACCUUUUUUUUCUAACUGCUGACGUCACCUUUUUAAUAGGAAAAAAAAUCAUAUCCAAUGGUGGUAAUUUUCCAGCAUAUAUAAUGUAAUGUAUAAAAUUUUGUUUAAGAUGUGUCACAGCUCCUCAAAGGCGUCGCUUAGACAAGUUGUAGAACCGUCUUCAUCUCCAACUCCAAGGGUCGUCUCUUUUCACAAACUUAUUUAUAGAAUAGACCGUACAGGUUUGCAGUUUUUUGGAGUUCAUUCAUCACGUCCUCUCACCCGUUUUCUAUCGCUCCGGUUUCCUUUAACAUCCAAUUCUCAGAACAAAUUCGGACAUAAUUGUUUAUAAACCAUUUGUUUGUUUUAAUAUAUCCCUAAUUUGAAAAGAUUUGUUUUCUACAUGCUCGUCGUAUGUCUGACUAAUUUAUGCCUCUUUAAUUUUGUUAAUCGUCCUCUUUUUUAAGUAUACGUAUUUGUUUCUGCAGUUUUUAUUUUCAGGGCUUGUCGCUAUUUGAAUGUCUUUGUGAUCAGAUCUCUUUUUGAAUGGUUAGCAGUGUGUGGAAAGAGAUGGAGUGUAUUGCGUCUUAUUAUUUGGCCAACGAACGAACCCCUUGUAACUUUCUUUUUCUCUCUUUCCUUUCUGAUUUAGGUUCUUUCUCCCAGUUUUUGUAUUGCAGUUUACUCGAUUUUCAUUGUUUUAUGAAUGAUUUGGUUCGUGACAUUUUGGAAAACUGAUAUGAUAAUUGCGAAUAACUUAAGUAUAUAUUCUCCUUAUUCAGUAAAAUAAUUCUCAUGUGCAACACUUGUCUGUGCAUGAGUUUAAGUGGGGAAGCUUGUACUUGAAGAACAUGUGGAAAGUGAGCCAAGUUUCGAUGAUAAUUCAAUAUUUACAAGGUUUCAAAAUCAUCGUUGCAAUAUUUACAAGGUUUCAAAUAAAUAAAUAAAUAAAUUGUGACGCUAACCUACUUACUGUGUAACUAUAUCAUCAUUAUAACAACAACAGGAAAGAGGAUGAACGUGACAGAAUCUCAAAAACCAUAGCAAAAAGAAAAUGAAGGCUUGUUGUACUUAUGUAUUUAAUGCUUAUAUCUGCUUUUGGGAUUUGAGUGUUUAGAAGAUGGAUUUAAUUAUCUUGCCAUUUGUCCCUCUACAAGAUAAGACUACCAAAAAAGAUAUGAAGAAACCAACGAUGUGUCCGUAAAUAUAUUUGUGUUGUUACCAAAUAAAUUAAAUAAUCUGGUUGUUACUUUUAGAUUCAGCGGUGCUUGAAACUUGUCAUGAAAGGUUACCCUCGCGUAGUAUGUGAAGAUUGGCAGCAAGAGGAAGGAUAACUCUUUCUUUUACCGUGCGGAGGGUUUUAGGAACCUAACACAAGUUUAAAAAAAUUAUAUUAAAACUUAUUUUUAAUACAAUCUAUCAUCUUCACCAAAUACAAGAGUGUAAAAUUAUAAAAGAAAUAAGUUUAUUAAGUAAAUAUGAUAUAAUUCUAUCAUAUAGAAAAAGUAAAGUUGAAUCUAAAAGGUUAACAAGUCGAACUCUAGUGGAAAGUAUUAUUUAAUUUGGGACCUAAAAAAAAAUAAUAUUAAUCGGAGGAUUGAGGCGAAUAUCUUUUUUGAUGCACUGUAGGCACAGCUUUAUUUCUUUAAUAUAUACACGAUUUUCUCCGGUAUCCGGGCUAGAAUUCUUUGUGAAAAUCAGAAUAUUUGUUGUUUAUUAUCAUUUUUGUUGGUCGUACCUGAUUCAAAGAAGUUAAUAUAUGAGGAAUUCACACACAAUAAAAAGCUGAAAUGGUAAGACUAUGGCUAUUUAUGGAUAUAAUAUCAACUUUUAGAUUGUAUAAACUUGAUCAUUUAACUUUAGUUCUAAUUCGGUUGAUAUGACAAUCAGUAAAACAAAUAAAUAUUGUCACUAAUAAAGUAUUCCAAAAAUAUUUUCAGUAAAACUAUAUAUGAUAUAUGCAAUUAUGUAUCUUAUUCAUUUAGAAUAUUUUUUAUUGAAAUGGUUUGUGGUUCUUUCUCAUUUUACUUAUAUUAUACAUUUUUAAAAUUCAUGAAAAAAAUAAAAGAUCUGUAUUUUUCUCCUUAUUUUAUUAUACUUUGAUAGCAAAAUAAGAUGAUUUCUAUAAAAGUAUAGAUUAUACAAAGUGGCAUAUGUUUUUAAUAAAAUUAGUUCACUAUAAUAACUUAAAAAUGCAUAGAUACUUUAAUGUGUGUGCCUUUACUAAUUGGUACUGACAUAUUUUUAAUUUUAUUACAACUAACUAAUAAAAAAUAUAACUGCAUGUAAGUAGUAAGUUAUUUGUAACACAUGUAUUUCUUCAAAACAAUUAUAUAAAAUGUGGUAUAUUCAUUUUUUACAAAAUGAGUUUCGUGCGAUAUCGCACGGGUUUCUUACCUAGUAAUAAUAAGAUGAAACACAUUAAAAAAUUUCUUAAAAAAAGUUAUGAUGGAUUACAUAGUUCAAACAAACAAAAAUGAAAACAAUUAAGGCUCCGAAUGGUGACUGCGGUUUGAGCGGUGCGGGACAAGCGGUUUAACUGCGGUGCAGUUUUAACAGUUAUAAAAAUGUAUAAAUAUAUAGUAUAUGUAGAGAUUUUUGUUACUGUUAACUGCGGGGCGGGGCGGGAUGAUGGUUAACAUUCGAAGCCUAAAUCAAUCUACUCUGAAUUUGAGAAAUAAUCAGAAGGACAAGAUUCUGAUUUGUUGUCAUACCAUCCAAUCUCGGCUUCUGAUUCUGAGUGCACAACAUCACCUAGUCCAAAUCCGGUUAAGUCGACAACGAGUUUAACGGCUGCUAAAUAAUCAGUUGGACUUAUGUGGCUGCUAGAGUUUGGCUGCAAUGGAUUAGAAACUCUUUGUACUUGGCCUCUUGGAUAGCUUCAUGUGACAACUAUCAAGGAUCAUUUCUUUUCCUAAUGUGUGGAUAAAAGGCAGAGUUGUUGUACCAAUCAAGGAUCACUUCAUGCUCAACAGUAUUGUCGUACCAAUCACAAUAAAGGACAGUGCGCCUCAUGCCAAUCAUUUCCGGAAACUGAAUUUCUAAAAUUUAGCGAAGAUUGCCUUAUAGUACACAUCGUAGUCAGAUGACGAUGAAAUACCAGAAUCAUUAGUUGUCCUCAAACAGUCUUCCUUUUGAACUGUGAAUGCAUAACCUCAAGUACAAUAUCUCGGACAUGACUUCACUACAUAAUUUGGGCCACAAAUAAACUCACAAAUUUCCAAGGAACAUAUUUUCGUCGGGUUUUACCGACGAAAUCCCCAAUUCUUUACGGGUUUGCAUUUCCGACGGAUAAAGAAUUCCCAACGAAAUUUUUUCCCUCUGAAUUUUGUCAGGAUAUAUCAUGUUUUCGUGUAGUGUGUGUGAGAGACAUAUUUUAUAAAUAAGGAUUCAUUUUUCCCACAUUAGUUCGGAUUAAUAUUUAUAUUUUAGUAAUCAUAGUGUCUAUGUGAGUUAUUAUUUAACUUGUACCAAGGUGUAGAAAGAAUAUUCAGAUCCGAAGAUCUAAACCGAAUAUAAUCUGAAAAAAUAAAAAUGAGAAUGAAAUACAAAAAAUUUGAAAAUUUUAUCUAUCCAAACGAAUCAAUAACAACUAUACAUUUUCUUAUGCUCUUCAUUUAACGUUUGAAUUAGCUUGAUAUGUUAAUUUUCUUGUCCUAUUGUAAUGUUUCUAUGGUCUUUGAUGUUUGUCUAGUCAUUAUAGAACUUGUUAGGAUCUUGGAAAUUUUUUGUGUAUUUGUUAUAAUCUACAUACUUUGGUUUGAAUGGUCGUCUAUGCAUAUAUUUUAUAUAUUAUUUAAGAAACAUGAUAAAUUGUGAGCUAUGUCAUGUGUCAUCACGAUAAUGAUUCUUAGAAUUUUUAGAAAAAUAUGUUUAUCGAUCUAAAAUAUUAAAAUUAUACAAAAAAAUAUUAAACCAUAAUUUUAGUUUAGGCCACAGUAAUCUAUGAUAUAAUAUAGAUUCUUAAUUAAUUUUUGUUGAUAAACCCUAAACCAAUCUACAUCCGCUCAUCUAUGUUGAAAAUAAUUCAAUUUCAUAUGAACUAAAUUUACAUCAUUGAAAAAUAUUUAUUAUUACAUGAUUUCAAAUUUUAACCCAUGAAAAUAUUUUUUAUAAAAAUUGUAAAUUAUUUUUAAGAUCUAAUCCAUGAGAAGAAUUUCUCUGGAAGACUUAUAGAAGACUCCUGAGAGACUUAUGGAAGACUCCUAGAAGACUUAUGGAAGAUUCUUGGAAGACUUAUGAAAGACUUUGAUUUAAGCAGGAAACCUAAAUUAUUCCAAAAUUUAGGCGGAAAACCUAAAUUAUUCCAAAAUUUAGGCGGAAACCAUAAAUUCUACUAAAAUUUAGGCGAGAUGUGUUUGAAGACUUCUUUUAAAAUCUUUUGUGAGUCUUCCAGACCCUAAAACCAAUCAACUAUGCAAAAAAUACUUUCUUAAACUUAAAAAAAACUUAGAAAAUGUUUAAAUCAAGUUAUUAGAUAGUUACUAAACAUAUAUGGGUCAAUUUGAAAAAGAAAAAAAAAUGAAGGUAAGAUUUCAGAAUCUAACCCUAAAGAUACAUACAAUGCUAUAAUAUAUGUUACCAAACCCUAAACCAAUAACUCAUGAGCCAAUAUAUAUUCACUCAUCUAUGUUGAAAAUAAUUCAAUUUCAGAUGAAUUAAAUUUACAUCAUUGAGAAAUGUUUAUUAUUACAUGAUUUCAAUUUUGUACCCAUCAAAAUAUUUUUUUAUAAAACAAUAAAAUUAUUUUUAAGAUCUACUAAAUGAGAAGACUUACAAAAAAAUCAUCUUAGAGAAGACUUACAAAGAAGUCAUCUUAGAAAAGACUUACAAAGAAGUUUUCUCUAACGCAAGGUUAUAAUGGUAAAAUUGAAUACAUGGUUUUUGUUUGUUCAUAAGGGAGCUGAUGUAAUUUCACUAAGUUUUUGGGUUAGUUUUGCAUUUGAUUGAAUUUGUGAUACAUUUUUGUAUUCAAAUCAAGUUUUGAGUAUUUUUUGCAAAUCCCCAAAAUAAUAAUCACCAGCAACAACAAAAAAAAGAAAUUGUGAUUUGGGCUGGAUCGUUUUAAAAAUUGUGAUUUGGGCUAUAAUUAAAUAUGAUUAAUAAAAAGCCUAUUAAGCUUCCGUUACUUUUUUUUCUUGAGGAAGAAACCAAACAGAUUCAUGUUAACCAAGUAAAAACAAACUUUUUAUUUUUUUUUGUAAAUAAAAAGCUAAAGAUCCAAGCUAUCUCGAAACAUAGCUAAAGAUCCAAGCUAUCUCUCUAUUUCUCUCCGCCAUCGUUAAGCAUAGAGACUGACAUCUUAUGUUUCCCACUAAAAACUGAGAAGAUGUUUGCAGAUCGUUAACGAAUAACGCUAGUAUAUAAAGGUUUGGACCUUGUGUUUUUUUUUACAAUCAAUUUCAGUUUUCGAUAAUCUUUAGUUUUUGUAUUCUUAUAUAUUGAUAGCUGUCGAUCUAAAUCCUAUAGAAUCAAUCAGCGGGAGCACGGGUCAAGCUCAGAAAUUUCUUGUAAUAGACUUGUAGAAGUAACUAUAAAAUGAGAAAAUGAGUUACAGUUCUGAGUAAUUGGGCUUUAAUGAGUUUUAAACGAAUUUAUAUAUUUGUUAUAAGAAGACAAUAGCAUUGGCAUGUUGACAUUGGGCAUAUGAGCUAUUUUUAUAAGACAAGAGGAGUGAGCAGGUGGAGAUGUUGUUGCCGCCUUUGUGUUUGUCGGCAUUUUCUCUUGUAUCUCAUGUUGUGGUUGUGUUUGUUUAUUCUUUAUUUGAUGGGUAAUAUGUAAACAAAAAUUAUUGUUAGUUGUAUUUAUGAGAGUUCAUAACUUACUCUGCUUUUUUUGUUUAGGUAAUUUCACUGAUUUUGGUUGUCGUCUUCGUCUUCUUCGUUGCGAAAGUAAGUUUGUAAAUUGUUAAAUAGCUGGCCGUGUAGUUUGUAUUUGUUUAGUUGACUUGAUGUAUGUGUCAUUGAGUUUUAGUUGGGGUGAUUGGUUUGGUAUAUUUGUUUUGAAGUUUAUUUCUAAGAUUAGACAAAAAAUAAAUGUGAUCAUUAAUGAUUCGUCUUUUUUGAAAUUCUAGUUUUUUGGUGUUUUGAUUGUUUGGGUUGUUGUGGUUUCUUUUAAGCAGUAAAAUAAAGGUUUUUGUAAAAUUAGUUUGAUAAGUAAGGGAGAUAAAUAGACGACCACGAAAUUUGGGUAGAAAAUAUUUUUGAUUAUUGAUGUUAGUACAAUAUAGAUAAUAAUAUAAAGGGAAUUGUGUGUUGAUUGUUUCUUACGGUUCAAUGAGGAGACGAAUAACGACUCGAGUUGUUUCUUUGCUAAGGUCAGAGCCUUGGACAGAACAGAUUUGUCCAACCACAUCUGCGAGUUUAAAUAUCAGUUAUGAUAACAAAACAUAUUAUAAACCCAUAUGCAAUAUGAUAAUAUACUUGGGAGUUCUAGGUUUGUGUUCGCAAUCACUUGAAAAUUAUCAAACAGUCUAAUUAUGAUUGGAGAUUGAUCUCAUGAGCACCCGUGACGACUUCAUCAAUACUAGUUGGUGAGAUAAAACGAAUGAGGAAUGGAUGAUCAAUUAUCUUGUACAUGCUUGAGCACCUAGCAACUUCAAAACGAUCGACUUUCACAAUAGAACCGGCUUUCAAAGAUGGCAUGUAAUGAUUAGCACGUCCGACGGGAAUAAACCCAUGAAUCACGGAAUCUGCAAAAAAUAUUAUUUAACAAAGAAUCAGGAAAUUAAUUAAAAACAAUUAUAUUAAAUAAGCGUGAUACAUCGAAGAUUAACUUACCUUUUCAUCAAGGAAUAGAACCGUGAUUCCCAUAAACUCACUGUCUUUCUUGAAGUUCAGGGAAUCCCAUAAGCGAGGAGGUUAGAGGCUAUGCUCUGACUACUACGACCAACACAGAGAGACUCGAAGGUUGAGUGACGGAUGCCGGGAACGCCGGUUUGAGGAACUGGAGAGGCAGAGAGACAUUUUCUAGAAGAUCGUUAAAGCUAAGAGGAAUCAAUGAGUUUUGUGCAGAUGCAGAUUGGGUUCAUCAAAGAUGAGAAUCAUAUAUAUAGGGUUUACAGAAGGCUACAAAUCGGAACAUUUAAGAUCAAGCGAUUUAAGAUGGGGGGAUGAAGAGUUCACCGGUGAAAAAUAGAUUACGAACAGACACACGGCGCAACUCUGUAACUCAGACUUGUCUGAGACAAUGAUGAAAAGAACUCUAACUCGUGUUAAAGGAAGACAAUUUACAAUAUGAAAAACUAUAAUUGUUGUUUUUUUUCAUAAAAUGUGAUGAACCUCAUUUAAAAAUGAAACUCAUAAUACACUUGUAGGCCCGACCCACAGAGAAAACCGAAGAAGCAAAAGUUUCCGACCUUCGUAAAUAUAUAUUAGUUUCGGCCAUCAAAGUUCAAAGUAUCAUUUAGUUUAGUUGUAUAAAUAUUGGUGUUUAUAUUUCAAUAACCCGAGUUCGAACUAUAAGCUUGUCACUUUUUUAACACUUUUUAAAAGUGAGAUCCACCAAAAUACCGACGUGUCACCUCAGGAAAAAAGAAAUAUACUAUUAUAUUAUAGAUUUUGAUUAGUUUAUUCUAAAAAUUAAAAAAAAUAUUAAUUCAGUGGUAUGUGAUUGUAAUUAUUGUGAAAAAUUUAGAGUUAAGUAAAAAAUGUAUUUCAAUUUUAAUAAUUUAGAUGUUAUAAAAGAAUUCAUUGGUUGUUAUCUGUUCCAAAAUAAUGUAUUAACAAACAAAGCAUGUAUCAUUUAAUAAUAACUAUUGUGUAACAUGUGGAAACACCGUAACCUACUGGUUAAGGUUUAAAGGCUUCUACACCUAGGUAUGGGGUUCGAACCCCAGACUAUGCAAUUUAUUGCAGAUUAUUAAACAAUUAUGCAGACUACAGAUGAAAGACUUGCAAGGGAUCUUCAACAUGGUGCAAGUAAAUCUCGCCAGGCGUGGAUCUACAUAGGACAGCUCAGGUGAUGCAGUUAGAUGUAGGUCUUCAUAUAAAAUACUAGAAUCCACUAAAACGUAAAUAUUUAUCUGCUAAUAUAUUAAUAAAAUUUUUACUAUUUUAAAAAUGAAAAGUUUUGAACAAAGAAAUUUAAAAAGAAAAAUUAUAGGGCAAUUCUCUCAAAUAGUACUUUUAAAGUUUUUGUCACUAAAAUAGCCAUUAAGAAAGAAAAUGACCAAUAUUCCUUUUUUGUUUUGAAAAUUUUAAUUUUAGUUUUUAAUUUUUUAAUUUGAAACUUUAUUUCCAAAACUCUACCCCUUAACUCUAGUAAGUCUAGAUUAAUUAACCCAAAGGUAAAAAUACAUUUUUAUUUUUUAAUAAAAUUUAUUUUGGUCAUUUUCUUCAUUGAAGACUAUUUUUGUGACAAAAAUUUUAAAAUAAUUAUCAUAGUAAAUUUUAAAGUUAAAAAAGAAGAAGAUAAACUCUCUAAAAUAAGAAAAAAGGAUAAAAAAAAGAAGGAAAAUUAUACAACUGACUACUGUAAUCUAUAAAUAACGUUAACCCUAUAACAUUAGUUAUCAUCAAAGAAGUACACAAUAGAGGAAAGAAAACUGCACAAUGAAUCCCUCUAGCUUCCGAUCCAAAUCAACCAUUGAUGUCGAUGAAGCCAUUAAGAACCAAAAUGACAUAGCGAUGGUCGUUUCGAAGGACCUCUUCUCUAGCAAAGCCAAACAUUCUAACUCCGUUUUUUCACCAGCGUCGAUAAACAACGCGCUCAAUUUGGCGGCCUCUGGUCCCAGUGAGAUUCUCAUCGACGGUUCUUCAUUCUCCAGUGAGAUCCUCUCCUUCCUGAGGGCUUCUUCAACUGAUGAUAGAUUUUGUAGGCGGUUAUGGGGGUUUAUGUAGGGAGCCUCCAGAGAUGAUAGAUUUUGUUGCAGAUCAUCCAUUUUUGUUCUUAAUUAGAGAAGACGCAAUUGGAACUGUUUUGUUUGCUGGUCAGAUCAUGGACCCUUCCGACAAAUCUUCUUAGGCUAUGGGGGGUGGGGGCAAGGGUCCAAGCGGGAUUUCGGUUUGGUUAUAUGGCAAAAAAGUGUGACCGAAUUAGUUGAAUUUUGUUUGACCUUUUUAUUCAUGAAUGUAUUUUUAAAUUAAUUGAUUCAUAUUUAUAUGUGUUUUUUUUUUCGACGAACUUAAAUUUUAUUAAUAUGAAAGCAUAAUAUCUGAAUACAAAGUUGGAGUUAACCACUUAGGUGGAUAAACUUUACAAUUUUCAAAAAUAAAAUUUGCUGGACCAUGGCGAACAAUUUCAUGCGCGGCUUGAUUUCCAUUACGUUUGACAAAAGUAAAUGUUGUUGUAGAAAGCUUAUUCUUCAAGCUAUUAAUUUCUUCAAGAAGAUUCUGAAUGGUUGAAUUUGUUAGAUGAUCAUUGAUCGUUGUAACCAAGAUUUCUGAGUCCCCUUCGAAAAUCAUAUCACUAUAUCCUCCUAUCCAAGCAUUCUGCAUUGCCACAAGUAAAGCCAUUGUCUCUGCAACUAAACUGGAAUUAGCGAACCCCAAAUUAGCCGAACCCCACAUAUAAGGAUGACCAUAACAGUUCCGGAUAAUCCAUGCACCUCGAACUUGGUUCGAAUUUAAAUCAUAUGCAGCAUCGUAAUUACAUUUUAGAAAACCCUGAUCUGGACGUUUCCAUGACGAUAAGGCAUGCAAAGAAGAACCUGCACUUGUAUUGCUUACUGUAGGAGAUGAUGAACAUAAAUGAGAUAUCCAUUCUCUUACGUCAGCGCAAGCAUUGUCCACUGUGACAUUUGGUUGCAGUAUUUGUUUCCUAAAGAGAAGAAAAUUCCUCUUUUUUCAUAUACGCCAUAGUAACCAAAAAGGUAAUAACCAUUGAUAAAGGGAAAGAGAUUGUACGCCUUGAAUAUUCAGCAGAAACCCUAUUUUAUUGUCCAUAGAAUCAUUUGUUAAUAAUGGACCCAUAAAAGGUAGAUUUGAAAGUCUCCAAAUACAUAUUGAAUCGGGGCACGUGAAAAAAAAAAUGGUCGAUUGUCUCUUCUGCCAAUCCACAUCUCUGGCAGAUAGGAUCUAAAUUCAUUCCUCUUGAAUUUAGUCUUGUAGUUGUUCCAAUAGCCUUUGAUAGAAUACGCCAAAGAAAAUGGUUAAGUUUAGGCAUUAUAUUUAAUUUCCAAACCUUAUCCUUUAGAAUAGGAUCACCAUAAGGAAUUGGAGGGGCUUCAAUCAAAUAAUCUGGUGCAUGCCUAGCAACCUUAUACCCAGAAGACACCGUAUAGUUUCCAUCUCGUGUAUGACUCCAAAUCAACUUAUCUUCUUUUUCUGUUUGGCUUAAAUAUAUCUGGCUUACGAGACGUUGGUCCUCAUCGCAUAAAUAAGACUGUAGUGCCACCGGAUUCCAAUGUUUGUACGGUGAAGUUGUGAUCAGAUCACUAACGAAUAAAUCACAAUUCAUUGUUGUAGAAGCAGGCCGAGGUGGAAUAACAGGUAACCAGUUAUCUUGAAAAACUCGUAUAUCUUUGCCAUUUCCCACAAUGUAGCUACAUCCUUUCUUUAAAACAUCAAUACCAGCAAGCAAAGAUUUCCAUCCAUAUGACUGCUUACGACAUGUUUUCCCUUCUAGAAGUUGUUUUCCUUUAAGAUAUCGGGCUUUAUAAAGUUUGGAAAAAAGACAGUUUGGUUUUGAGUAGAUUCGCCAUGCUUGUUUGGCAAGCAAAGCGUCAUUAAACUUGGGUAAAUCUUUGAAUCCAAGCCCUCCUUCUUUCUUCGUAUACUGUAAUUUUUUCCAAGCCACCCAUGGUAGACCUUUAAGAUCAUUUUUACCCCACCAUAAUCUCAUUAAAAUGGCAUCUAUCUCUUGUGUUGUUGCAACCGAUUUGAUCAUAACUUCUUUACCAGCUGGUGAAAGAAAUUUAGUACUCCAAUGAGACGUUCUCUGUUUAACACGUUGAACAACUGUACUAAACCUUUCUUUUUUUUUCCAUCCAAACUGUUCUGGUAGACCCAAAUACUUCCCACCACCACCAUGAUUUGAGAUUCCAAGGAUGUGUUUCAAGGAGUCUUGUUUAGAACCAUGAACCUUAGAACCAAAAGUUAUUACUGAUUUGUCUUGAUUUAUUUUUUGACCGGAGCAAUUUUCAUAGAUAUCAAACACUUCUUUUAGAGCUUUGCAAUUUUUUUGAUUAGCAAUGCAGAAAAAGAGAGAGUCAUCCACAAAAAAUAGAUGAGUAAUAGAUGGAGUCCCUUGUCCGAUUUUAAUACCAUUUAUUUUCUUACGCCAAACUUGAACAUCAAUUAGAUGACUCAAAAUAUCAGCACAGAGAAUAUAUAGAUAUAGAGAUAAUGGAUCUCCUUGACGUAACCCCCGCUGUGGAAUGAUAUGUCCCUGAGGAACACCAUUAAUAAGCACUGAAUAUUCAACUGUACUGACCAGAGCCAUUACCCAAGAUAUCCAUUUUUCUGCAAAGCCAAAUGCUCGUAAGGUACUUUCGAGAAAAUUCCAAUCAACACGAUCAUAAGCUUUAGUGAUGUCUGUCUUAACAGCCAUAUAUGUCUGGGACACUCGUUUCCUUGAUUUAAGAGAAUGCAUAAGCUCAUGGGCAAUCAUAACAUUAUCAUUGAUUAAUCGACCUGGAAUAAAAGCUGCUUGUGAAUCCGAGACAAUUUUGUCGAGGGAAAAUUUAUAUGUGUUUGUUUAUUCGUAAAUUUUCAUCAAUAGAAUGAUAUAAUUAGUUUCUUUUUAAUUUAUAAAUGGCAGUUUACUUGUAUGUGCCUAGUUCAAAUUAUACAUUUAAAACUAUAUAUAAAUAUUAGAAAAUUGUUUAUAAAAAAAUUCUAACAAGGUUUUGUCAAGUUUUUUAAUACUCAAACUUUUUCGUUAACCAGUUCAAUUUUGUCUGAUUUUCGGCGGAGAUUUUAUCUUCCAAGCAAAGGUUUGGAGUUUUUUUUACACUCAGCAAAGGUUUGGAGUUAUUUUUACACUCUGUUUGUGCAUCCAUCGUUUCGUUGUUAAGCAAGUUUGUUCCUGUCCAGUAGCAUGAUUUAACCGUGUACAUACCGCUCUUUUAUAGCUUCAGCAAUAUUCAUCUCGAUGGUAUCAUGGCCAAUGAUUGAGAUAUCUUUCGGACUGACAUAGUUUUCUAGGAUUUCAGUGUUCCAUCUUUUUGGACUUCCUAUUAAUAGUUCACUUACUGGCAUCAUUGUGUGAACCACCAUUGCAAUGUGCCUAGCCGGUCUCGCCGGUAACAUCUUCCCAAAUCCUGAUUUCAUUCUCAAAAUUUACUUUUUGUCUAAUUUCCAACGAUAUUAAUGGCUUCGCCACCAUUGUACUCGUCCACCCAUAUGAGGAAUUAUGAGCCUUGUUUAGAGGCAAAGGCGAACUACAUAUGAAGUAUUUUCCCUGCAAAACUUUCGCUAAUAGGGAAUCAAGAAACUGCACUAAUCGCCUCGACUGUUUGCCUAAUAUAGCAAGAUUGAAUUCAAGGAUCAUCUUGAGUCCUAUCCCUUCCUCUCCUCUUGAUUUACAUAGAUUUUCUCAUUUUUCCAAUAUAUACCUCUUUCAGGUAGGUUCAAACUCUACCAGAAUUGUACAAUGGCGCUAGCUAAAUUCUAACAGGUUUCUAGUGAUAGCAGCAUAGGCCCUGUUCGUUUGUACAUCUGGAAGAUGCAUCCAGAUGAUCCAUCUAGAUGUUUUAUCCAGAUGUUCCAUCUGGGUGUUGUUCGUUUUUUCAUUUCGUCCAUGCAUCCAGAUGAAUCAUCUGAAUGCAACUAUGUUCGUUUGCUUUUCAUUUUUUAACUUCCAUUUGCAUCUAGGUGGACUUGUUAUUAAAAUGACUAAAAUAUAAUUUUUACGUUUCAGCCGAAAAAUAGAAUUUUUACGGUUUUGGCGGAAAUUAUAUUUUGCGGUUUUUGAGGAAAAAUGUGUUUUUAGCGAAAAAGUGUAGUUUUGUGGUUUUGCCGGGAAAUACGUUUUUAUGGGUUUGGCGGAAAAAUACUUUUUUGCGGUUUUGACGGGAAAAGUGUGUUUUGCGGUUUUGGCAGGAAAAGUGUUUUUGACGGGAAAUGUUCUUUUCACGAUUUUGGUGGGAAAAGUUUUUUUCGCGAUUUUGGCGGAAAAAGUUUUUGUUUUCGCGAUUUUGGCGGGAGAAACAUUUUUGCGGUUUCGGCAGGAAAAUACAUGUUUUCCGGUUUUCGUGGGAAAAUACAUUUUUCUGAUUUUGGCGGGAACAUGCGUUUUUUCGUUUUUGGCGAAAAAAUUUGUUUUCCAGUUUUGGCGGGAAAAUGCAUUUUCCGGUUUUGGUGGGAAAGUUGUGUUUUCCGGUUUUGGCGGAAAAAUUGUGUUUUCCGGUUUUGGUGAGAAAAUUGUAUUUUCUGUUUUUGGCGGGAAAAUUGGGCUUUUCCGGUUUUGGCGAGAAAAUGAUUUUUGCGUUUUUGGCCGGAAAAUGCUUUUUGGAGUUUUCGCGGGAAUAUGUGUUUUUGGGUUUUGGCGGGAAAAUGCGUUUUUUUUUGUUUUGACGGGAAAAUGUGUUUUCACGGUUUUUUUCGAAAAGUGUGGUUUUUAGGCCCUGUUCGUUUGUACAUCUGGAAGAUGCAUCCAGAUGGUCCAUCUAGAUGUCUUAUCGAGAUGCUCCAUCUGGAUGUUGUUUGUUUCUUUAUUUCGUCCAUGCAUCCAGAUCAAUCAUCUGAAUUCAACUAUGUUCGUUUGCUUUUCAUUUUUAACUUUCAUCUGCAUUCAUGUGGACUUGUUAAUAAAAUGACUAAACUAUAAUUUUUACGUUUCGGCGGAAAAAUAGCAUUUUUACGGUUCUGGCCAAAAAAAUUUUUGCGAUUUUUGAGGAAAUAUGUGUUUUUCGCGAAAAAUGCAUUUUUAUGGUUUUGGCGGAAAAUACGUUUAUGGGUUUGGCGGAAAAAUACGUUUUUGCGGUUUGGACGGAAAAAGUGUGUUUUGAAGUUUUGGCGGAAAAUGUUUUUUCUGCGAUUUUGGCGGGAAAAGUUUGUUUUCUCGAUUUGGGUGGAAAACAUUUUUUUUGGUUUUGGCGGGAAAAUACAUUUUCCGGUUUUUGCGGGAAAAUACAUUUUUCUGGUUUUAGCGAGAAAAUACAUUUUCUGGUUUUGGCGAGAAAAUGCGUUUUUCCGGUUUUGGCGGGAAAAUGCGUUAUUUUGGUUUUGGCGGGAAAAUACAGUUAUUUUGGUUUUGGCGGGAAAAUACAGUUUUUUCGGUUGUGGCAGGAAAAUACAGUUUUUCCGAUUUUGGCGGGAAAAUACAUUUUCCGGUUUUGGCGGGAAAAUGAGUUUUUCCGGUUUUGGCGGGAAAAUGCGUUUUUCUGGUUUUGACGAAUUUUCCGGUUUUGGCGGUAAAAUUGUGUUUUUCAGUUUUGGCAGGAAAAUGCGUUUUUCCGGUUUUAGCGAGAAAAUUCAGUUUUCCGGUUUUGGCGGAAAAUUUCAUUUUCCGGUUUUGGCGGGAAAAUUGUGUUUUUCGGUUUUGGCGAGAAAAUGCGUUUUUUGGUUUUGGCGAGAAAAUGCGUUGUUUCCGGUUUUGGCGAGAAAAUACUUUUUGCGGUUUUGGCCGGAAAAUGAUUUUUGGAGUUUUGACGGGAAUAUGCGUUUUUUGGGGUUUGGUCGAAAAGUAUGAUUUUACUGGUUUUGCCAAAAAAUGUGUUUUUAUGAAAAUGUGUGUUUAUGUUUUUUUUUGCGGAAAAUUGCAUCUUACGGUUUUGGCGGGAAAGUGUGUUUUUCCGUUUUUGCGAGAAAAUGCAUUUUUGGUUAUAAGUUAUGUACGUAGGUAAAACCAGAAGAAUAGACUUUAUCAGCAAUUCUUUUCCUCCCCUUGAAAGCCAUCAUCAUCUCCAACCAUUAACCCGAUUUUGCAAUCGCUCUUUCAAGAACGCGAAUAAUUUCCGUUUUGAGCCACUGAUGUCCUUUGUAAUACAAGAUAAGAUCUCUCCCCUUCAUUUGCAAUUCCCAUUGAAUUUUUUACAGCAUCUUUCACAUGUCCAGGUGUCUUCUUACCAAAGAGUAAUGAUGAUUUUUCGAAGUUAAUACACUGUCCUGAAAUUUUCCCAUAAGUCUUAAACGCUUUUAUGACCAUCGCAUUCACGGGGCUCCGUCUUAGAGAAAAACAGGCUAUCAUUAGCAAAGAGAAGGUGUGAUACUAGAGGGCUAGUUCGUGAGACGCACAUCCCCGUUAUCUUGCCUUGAUUUUCCGUAUGAUUUAGAAGGCUAAUAAGCACUUUUGUGCAUAGGAUAAAAAUGAAAGGAGACAAAUGAUCUCCGUGACGCAAUCCUCUUCAUGAGCCAUGUUCGUUUCUUAACAGCUGCGUUUAGCGGCUGCGGCAAGAAAAAGUACUGCGACGGUGACCAGAAUAAUAGAAUCUAAAGCUGAAGUAGAAGCUAAUGGAUGUCCGGAGACAGAAAAAACUAGACGCAAUGCCGCUAAAAAUUUCAGCGUCCCUUUUUACUGUAGUUACUUGCCGCUGCGACUGGAUAACAAGUUGUCGGUGCUUCAUCGGUGUUGUGUGAUGGCGUGAUAACAUGUUUAAUUUUUGGCUGCUGCCGCUGUGUCUUGCGGUUAAGAAACGAACAUGGCUAUGGUUGUAUUUCUUCUUGGUUGGCCAUUAAAAAGGACAUGGUAUUUCACUGACGUUACACACCGUAUUAUCUACUCAAUCCAUAAGUCUGAAAAACUCAUGUUUUCAUGACCGCACUGAUAAAUUCCUAUUCCAAAUGAUCAUAAGCUUUACUUAUGUCUGUCCUUAUUUCCAUUCUUCAAACUUUACUUAUGUCUGUCUUUAUUUCCAUUUUUCUAGGUUUUUCGUUGGAAUUUGUACGAAAUAAAACAUCUCAUGUGUUAUCAUUCCAUUAUCAGUUAUUUAAUCUUUGGCAUAAGAUUUUAGAUAUUAUUUCGUAGUUCACAUUAUAAAAACUGAUGGAUUGAAACUCGGAUAUUUCAUUCGAUUUCUCUUUUUUCGGGAUGAGAUAAAUAUUGACAUCAUUGAGCCAUGGAAAUCCUAUACCAUAUAAAGUAUACCAUGGAAAUCCGUUUGACAAAGAUGAAAAUGUUGUGUAAAACUAAGAAAAAUAAAGUCCGUACACAACUAAAGCAAAGUUAACCAAUUAAAAUACACAAGCUUUAUUUACUUUAAUAUGCUUUCGAAGUGGGUCAUUCUAUUUUAAAACAUUUACUUGCAGCUUAAGAAAUGUAAAUAAAAUAUAUUUUUUCUUUUGAGUUUGGAUAACUUUUACACUUUAAAGUUUAAAUUAUUAAAUGGAUAUUAGAAUUUAGGAUUGCAUAUCUGACAUUUAGUUUUAAAGGGGUUUAUGUCGUCAUGUGACAAAUUCAACAUUGUAUAAAAGUUAGACUAAGAUAUUAUAUUGUAUUUCAGGACUAGGAAUUGACAUAAAAAAAUAAUGAUUCCUUACUAGCACAAAUAAUUAAUGAUUGGAACUUAUUUAAAUAUUAGUAGAAAAAAUAUAUUUACAUUAAAACAUGUUAAAAGAAAAACCAUACUUACCCUACUGAUAAAUGAUAAAUAAAAACAAAAAUAAUGAAAUUUUAUCUUUUAGAUUCUCAGUUGUCAAUUACUUAUUUUUGUCGCAAAUUUUGCAUUACCUUUAGUUUUUCUUUUU